GUAGCAAGGUUAACCGAAUAGGGGAGCCGAAGGGAAACCGAGUCUUAACUGGGCGUUAAGUUGCAGGGUAUAGACCCGAAACCCGGUGAUCUAGCCAUGGGCAGGUUGAAGGUUGGGUAACACUAACUGGAGGACCGAACCGACUAAUGUUGAAAAAUUAGCGGAUGACUUGUGGCUGGGGGUGAAAGGCCAAUCAAACCGGGAGAUAGCUGGUUCUCCCCGAAAGCUAUUUAGGUAGCGCCUCGUGAAUUCAUCUCCGGGGGUAGAGCACUGUUUCGGCAAGGGGGUCAUCCCGACUUACCAACCCGAUGCAAACUGCGAAUACCGGAGAAUGUUAUCACGGGAGACACACGGCGGGUGCUAACGUCCGUCGUGAAGAGGGAAACAACCCAGACCGCCAGCUAAGGUCCCAAAGUCAUGGUUAAGUGGGAAACGAUGUGGGAAGGCCCAGACAGCCAGGAUGUUGGCUUAGAAGCAGCCAUCAUUUAAAGAAAGCGUAAUAGCUCACUGGUCGAGUCGGCCUGCGCGGAAGAUGUAACGGGGCUAAACCAUGCACCGAAGCUGCGGCAGCGACGCUGAUGCGUUGUUGGGUAGGGGAGCGUUCUGUAAGCCUGUGAAGGUGUGCUGUGAGGCAUGCUGGAGGUAUCAGAAGUGCGAAUGCUGACAUAAGUAACGAUAAAGCGGGUGAAAAGCCCGCUCGCCGGAAGACCAAGGGUUCCUGUCCAACGUUAAUCGGGGCAGGGUGAGUCGACCCCUAAGGCGAGGCCGAAAGGCGUAGUCGAUGGGAAACAGGUUAAUAUUCCUGUACUUGGUGUUACUGCGAAGGGGGGACGGAGAAGGCUAUGUUGGCCGGGCGACGGUUGUCCCGGUUUAAGCGUGUAGGCUGGUUUUCCAGGCAAAUCCGGAAAAUCAAGGCUGAGGCGUGAUGACGAGGCACUACGGUGCUGAAGCAACAAAUGCCCUGCUUCCAGGAAAAGCCUCUAAGCAUCAGGUAACAUCAAAUCGUACCCCAAACCGACACAGGUGGUCAGGUAGAGAAUACCAAGGCGCUUGAGAGAACUCGGGUGAAGGAACUAGGCAAAAUGGUGCCGUAACUUCGGGAGAAGGCACGCUGAUACGUAGGUGAAGUCCCUCGCGGAUGGAGCUGAAAUCAGUCGAAGAUACCAGCUGGCUGCAACUGUUUAUUAAAAACACAGCACUGUGCAAACACGAAAGUGGACGUAUACGGUGUGACGCCUGCCCGGUGCCGGAAGGUUAAUUGAUGGGGUCAGCGCAAGCGAAGCUCUUGAUCGAAGCCCCGGUAAACGGCGGCCGUAACUAUAACGGUCCUAAGGUAGCGAAAUUCCUUGUCGGGUAAGUUCCGACCUGCACGAAUGGCGUAAUGAUGGCCAGGC
RNAcentral lists this ribosomal RNA (1394 nucleotides) under Escherichia coli. RNAcentral's name for it is "bacterial LSU rRNA". It matches the Rfam family "Bacterial large subunit ribosomal RNA", at positions 637 to 2016 of the family's 2925-position model. Lineage: Bacteria; Pseudomonadati; Pseudomonadota; Gammaproteobacteria; Enterobacterales; Enterobacteriaceae. The record is from RNAcentral.